AGUGGAAUCUCUAAAAAGACUUAUAUUUAGGAACGGAGGGAGUACUACAUAACUUGGACGUGGAUGGAAUAUAAUGCAUUCUACCAUGCAUAUCCAAUAUUUAGGAUCUCCCGCAAAAGAAAUUCCAAUGUUUAGGACUUCACAAAAACAUGGGUAUGUGUCAUCGUAAAAUUUGUGAGGAUGGCCGUUCAGCUCAUCGACCUUCUGUUUUUUUAACAUACUGCUCGACCAUUUUUUUAAGGGAGACCCCUCGACCUUUUUGCGUCGUGCCUUAGGCUAAAAUGUGGUUUUGGGCCAACAGCGUAACACUCGGCUAUACGGGCCUGGAAACUUGCCACUGGGCCAGCUGUAUGGAGGCCCACUCAGAAACGCCAACACAGGUCAGUUCCCUGCCUCUAUGUCGAGCGGAAAAAGAAAAGAAUCUUCUCAAAAAAUAAACUGUCGAGCGGAAAAAGAAAAGAAUCUUCUCAAAAAAUAAACUGUCGAGCUGAGCAGCACUGCGCCGCCGCCCCUCCUCCUGUCUCUGGCCCCGCGGCCCGCCGAACGCCGACCCGAGGACCGCGAGGGCGUCGGGGAAGCGCACGACCCGGACAUCCUGCAAUCGUGCUCGGCUGCUCGCCUCGCCCAGCCCAAUCGUCAUUAGCAGCCAUGGCCUGAAUCCGGCAGCCACGGCCUCAAACAGCACACCCCGACAGGCGGCACACUUCAUGCUUACACGGCUCCUCCGCUAUUGCACCGGCGAGUAGCACCGACCGUAGCAUCACUGCAUCAACAUACGGUGGUCAGCAGGCAGCAGCACCGUUCCAAAAAUAAAGAACAAGUCUGGUGAUUGAAACAUGUGUGCACCCAUUCCUUGCUUACAAAAGAAAUCCCGGACGGAGGGAGUAGAAGCUACACUAUCUAUGCUGAUGUUUGUAAAUUUCCUUCUUGGUUUAUCUCCUGUGUAAGUUCCUGCAAAUUGGUAGAGGGCGCAGUGUGCUAACUCAUGGUCUUACUGCCCAGGCGCAUCAGAUCACUAUUAGUAAUCUAUGGAUGGGGCAUGUCCCUCCAGUGUUGAGUUGGCUUGUAAUGACUCUGUAACUCUGAUUCCCUAUGAGUAUUCAGAAAAGGAAGGAAACUGACCUAUGCCCA
Long non-coding RNA from Aegilops tauschii subsp. strangulata, 1131 nucleotides. RefSeq lists it as uncharacterized. The record is from RefSeq and is a predicted model, not a curated record. NCBI's taxonomy places the organism in Eukaryota, Viridiplantae, Streptophyta, Magnoliopsida, Poales, Poaceae.